GACGAACGCUGGCGGCGUGCUUAACACAUGCAAGUCGAACGGAAAGGCCCUGCUUUUGUGGGGUGCUCGAGUGGCGAACGGGUGAGUAACACGUGAGCAACCUGCCCUUGGCUUUGGGAUAACUUCAGGAAACUGGGGCUAAUACCGGAUAGGAGCUCCUGCUGCAUGGUGGGGGUUGGAAAGUUUCGGCGGUUGGGGAUGGACUCGCGGCUUAUCAGCUUGUUGGUGGGGUAGUGGCUUACCAAGGCUUUGACGGGUGGCCGGCCUGAGAGGGUGACCGGCCACAUUGGGACUGAGAUACGGCCCAGACUCCUACGGGAGGCAGCAGUGGGGAAUAUUGCACAAUGGGCGGAAGCCUGAUGCAGCAACGCCGCGUGCGGGAUGACGGCCUUCGGGUCGUAAACCGCUUUCGCCUGUGACGAAGCGUGAGUGACGGUAAUGGGUAAAGAAGCACCGGCUAACUACGUG
RNAcentral lists this ribosomal RNA (468 nucleotides) under uncultured bacterium. RNAcentral's name for it is "partial 16S ribosomal RNA". It matches the Rfam family "Bacterial small subunit ribosomal RNA", at positions 28 to 507 of the family's 1533-position model. The record is from RNAcentral.